CUCGUAGGCGGUUCGUCGCGUCCGGUGUGAAAGUCCAUCGCUUAACGGUGGAUCCGCGCCGGGUACGGGCGGGCUUGAGUGCGGUAGGGGAGACUGGAAUUCCCGGUGUAACGGUGGAAUGUGUAGAUAUCGAGAAGAACACCAAUGGCGAAGGCAGGUCUCUGGGCCGUUACUGACGCUGAGGAGCGAAAGCGUGGGGAGCGAACA
Molecule: ribosomal RNA, 207 nt
Filed under: uncultured bacterium
Lineage: Bacteria
Description: partial 16S ribosomal RNA
Rfam family: Bacterial small subunit ribosomal RNA
Source: RNAcentral